Molecule: ribosomal RNA, 259 nt
Filed under: uncultured Staphylococcus sp.
Lineage: Bacteria; Bacillati; Bacillota; Bacilli; Caryophanales; Staphylococcaceae
Description: partial 16S ribosomal RNA
Rfam family: Bacterial small subunit ribosomal RNA
Source: RNAcentral
CGGGUGAGUAACACGUGGAUAACCUACCUAUAAGACUGGGAUAACUUCGGGAAACCGGAGCUAAUACCGGAUAAUAUAUUGAACCGCAUGGUUCAAUAGUGAAAGACGGUUUUGCUGUCACUUAUAGAUGGAUCCGCGCCGCAUCAGCUAGUUGGUAAGGUAACGGCUUACCAAGGCAACGAUGCGUAGCCGACCUGAGAGGGUGAUCGGCCACACUGGAACUGAGACACGGUCCAGACUCCUACGGGAGGCAGCAGCC